Molecule: long non-coding RNA, 541 nt
Filed under: Vitis vinifera (wine grape)
Lineage: Eukaryota; Viridiplantae; Streptophyta; Magnoliopsida; Vitales; Vitaceae
Description: long non-coding RNA (VVIN_LNC007522)
Source: RNAcentral
UUUGGAUGUUUUGUCAUUGGGUGUGCUUGGUUUGAGUAGAUCUGAGGAUUUCUUGGUGGUACCAGAACUGGACUUGGUUGAAUUUGAGGCCUUUGAGGUGGAAUUGAGCUUCUUGAGCUGUUUCGUGGCAGAGAUAGUGGGUGUCGUUUUCGUGGAGUUUGAGGAUUUUGCCGUGGAAUUGAGCUUCUUUAUCUGGGCUUUGUUGAGGAUAGUGGGUGUCGUUUUGGUCGAGUAAGUGGAGGGUUUGACGAGUUUGGUUUGGUUCUUGCUGGAAGAGGUCCCAUCGAGCUUCUUCUUUGGUUGAUCUUCUUUCUGUACCUCUUUGACGAGUUUGGUCUGGUUCUUGGUGGACAAGCUAGUGCUGGGUGUCUUCUUGGGCUGCUCUUCUUUCUCAAUCUCAAACACUCUCCUCCUCCCAAGAAACUGUGUUCUCCGAGGUUGGGCCUCGGAGCAGGCACAAACAAGAGUAGAAGCAAAGAGAAAUAAAACAAGAUAGAGCACAAGUACCUGUCUGAAACUGAAGUACCGAAGUGGAGCCAUG